This 463-nucleotide unclassified non-coding RNA is filed under the name Bifidobacterium oedipodis. Its description in RNAcentral is "Bifidobacterium sp. VB24 partial 16S-23S ribosomal RNA intergenic spacer". The record is from RNAcentral. Lineage: Bacteria; Bacillati; Actinomycetota; Actinomycetes; Bifidobacteriales; Bifidobacteriaceae.
CCUUUCUACGGAGAAUUUCAGGACGGGUGUUCGCCCGUCCGGUGUGUGUCCCCUUCCUGUUUGGCGCGUCCGGCGCCUGGAUGGGGAAUGCUGGCGUGGAAGAGAUCAUCGGCUGUCGCGUGUUCCUUCGGGUCCGCGCGCGGGAGUGGUAUGGGCAUGCUUUUGGGUUCCCGGAUCGCCACGGGCGGGGGUUUUCCCCUGUUUCGGCGUUCCGUUGCGCCCCCGGGCCCCGGCUUUCCGCCUUGGUUGGUGGUUGGUUCGGGUUUGGGGUGUGGUGGUGGUUUGAGAACUGGAUAGUGGACGCGAGCAGAAACCAUUCUUUUUUGUUUGGUUUUUGCUGUUGAUUUCGAUUCGAACUCAUAUAUUGUUCGUUUCGAUCGUUUUGUGAUCAUUAUGUGUGAUGAUUUGUCGUCAAGUGGAAUUUUGCUGGUCGUUGCGUGCGGUCCACACCCCGUGGGGUGCG